This 94-nucleotide non-coding RNA is filed under the name Yersinia enterocolitica. Lineage: Bacteria; Pseudomonadati; Pseudomonadota; Gammaproteobacteria; Enterobacterales; Yersiniaceae. The record is from RNAcentral.
AGACUGUUGGCAAAGUGCCGGCUUCGGAGAGAACAGGCAGAUCGUAAAGACGCCGUCAAUCCUUCCCUGGAGGCUCGUGCCGCGCCAUAUAUGG